CCUACGGGAGGCAGCAGUGAGGAAUAUUGGGCAAUGGGCGCGAGCCUGAACGAGCAAAGUCGCGUGAGGGAAGACGGUCCUAUGGAUUGUAAACCUCUUUUGUCGGGGAGCAAAAGACGCCACGCGUGGCGUUCCGAGAGUACCCGAAGUAAAAGCAUCGGCAAAAUCCGUGCCAGGAGACGCGGUAAUACGGGGGAUGCGAGCGUUGUCCGGAUUUAUUGGGUUAAAGGUGUGCGCAGGCGGAAGAUCAAGUUAGCGGUAAAAUUGAGGGGCUCAACCUCUUCGGGCCGUUGAAACUGGUUUUCUUGAGUGAGCGAGAGGUAUGCGGAAUGCGUGGUGUAGCGGUGAAAUGCAUAGAUAUCACGCAGAACUCCGAUUGCGAAGGCAGCAUACCGGCGCUCAACUGACGCUCAUGCACGAAAGUGUGGGUAUCGAACAGGAUUAGAUACCCGGGUAGUC
This 459-nucleotide ribosomal RNA is filed under the name uncultured bacterium. Its description in RNAcentral is "partial 16S ribosomal RNA". It matches the Rfam family "Bacterial small subunit ribosomal RNA", at positions 338 to 795 of the family's 1533-position model. The record is from RNAcentral.